Nannospalax galili (Upper Galilee mountains blind mole rat) is the source of this 93-nucleotide small nucleolar RNA. Its record names the gene SNORD116. It matches the Rfam family "Small nucleolar RNA SNORD116". Rfam says of the family: HBII-85 is a member of the C/D class of snoRNAs, which contain the C (UGAUGA) and D (CUGA) box motifs. The record is from Ensembl. NCBI's taxonomy places the organism in Eukaryota, Metazoa, Chordata, Mammalia, Rodentia, Spalacidae.
GGAUCGAUGAUGACUCAAACAAAAGCACUCCUUGGGAAGCUGAACAAAAUGAGUGAAAACUCACUAUGGCCAUUCUCAUCGUGACUGAGGUCC